CAAGACCUUGCGCUUUUGGAGCGGCCGAUGUCUGAUUAGCUAGUUGGUGAGGUAAAGGCUUACCCAAGGCUUCGAUCAGUAGCUGGUCUGAGAGGACGACCAGCCACACUGGGACUGAGACACGGCCCAGACUCCUACGGGAGGCAGCAGUGGGGAAUUUUGGACAAUGGGGGCAACCCUGAUCCAGCCAUGCCGCGUGAGUGAAGAAGGCCUUCGGGUUGUAAAGCUCUUUCAGCCGGAACGAAACGGUCACGGUUAAUAACCGUGAUCACUGACGGUACCGGAAGAAGAAGCACCGGCUAACUACGUGCCAGCAGCCGCGGUAAUACGUAGGGUGCGAGCGUUAAUCGGAAUUACUGGGCGUAAAGCGUGCGCAGGCGGUUUUGUAAGUCAGAUGUGAAAUCCCCGGGCUUAACCUGGGAACU
RNAcentral lists this ribosomal RNA (425 nucleotides) under uncultured beta proteobacterium. RNAcentral describes it as "bacterial SSU rRNA". It matches the Rfam family "Bacterial small subunit ribosomal RNA", at positions 207 to 622 of the family's 1533-position model. The record is from RNAcentral. Lineage: Bacteria; Pseudomonadati; Pseudomonadota; Betaproteobacteria.